RNAcentral lists this ribosomal RNA (256 nucleotides) under uncultured bacterium. Its description in RNAcentral is "partial 16S ribosomal RNA". It matches the Rfam family "Bacterial small subunit ribosomal RNA", at positions 524 to 776 of the family's 1533-position model. The record is from RNAcentral.
UACAGAGGGUGCAAGCGUUGUUCGGAAUUAUUGGGCGUAAAGCGCGUGUAGGCGGCUUUGCAAGUCGGGUGUGAAAGCCCUCAGCUCAACUGAGGAAGUGCGCCCGAAACUGCAGAGCUUGAGUGCCGGAGAGGGUGGCGGAAUUCCCCAAGUAGAGGUGAAAUUCGUAGAUAUGGGGGAGGAACACCGGUGGCGAAGGCGGCCACCUGGACGGUAACUGGACGCUGAGACGCGAAAGCGUGGGGAGGCAAACAGG